Molecule: ribosomal RNA, 486 nt
Filed under: uncultured bacterium
Lineage: Bacteria
Description: partial 16S ribosomal RNA
Rfam family: Bacterial small subunit ribosomal RNA
Source: RNAcentral
GACGAACGCUGGCGGCGUGCUUAACACAUGCAAGUCGAACGAUGAAGCCCAGCUUGCUGGGUGGAUUAGUGGCGAACGGGUGAGUAACACGUGAGUAACCUGCCCUUGACUCUGGGAUAAGCGCUGGAAACGGCGUCUAAUACCGGAUACGACCUGCCCCGGCAUCGGGUGCGGGUGGAAAGUUUUUCGGUCAAGGAUGGACUCGCGGCCUAUCAGCUAGUUGGUGAGGUAAUGGCUCACCAAGGCGACGAAGGGUAGCCGGCCUGAGAGGGUGACCGGCCACACUGGGACUGAGACACGGCCCAGACUCCUACGGGAGGCAGCAGUGGGGAAUAUUGCACAAUGGGCGAAAGCCUGAUGCGGCAACGCCGCGUGGGGGAUGACGGCCUUCGGGUUGUAAACCUCUUUUAGUAGGGAAGAAGGGCUUCGGCUUGACGGUACCUGCAGAAAAAGCACCGGCUAACUACGUGCCAGCCGCCGCAGUAA